UCUUCAGGCGAACAUUGACAUCGAAGUGAUACCCUAUGAUAUCAAGAAAAAUCCUAUGGAACAAAGAAGCAGAUAAUGAUCACAGAAGUGCAACAAAGAGCACCAGGACCUGAUCAUCAAAUGUUAUGGUGUAGAUCUAAUCAGGAACAAGACACCUAAGUUGAACUCUGGCAAGGUUGUCCCAUGCAGAAGGUUUGAUACCCAGGCUUCUUUUGUACAAGUCCCUAGUCCACCCUCAUCUUGAGAACUGUUCCGGUGUCUGGGAUCCCUACAACAUCUCAGAUGUCCAGGACGCUACUUCACAAUGGGGACCACAAGAGAAGCAGCAGUUUGACUGAGAUGAUCAGCACCUUUUAGUUGCCUACUAUAUCUACAACUACAAGGCACUCUGCAAGAAGACUGGGAAUGGUGCACAAGAUAGUCAAUGGUCUCUCUGCUCUUCCUUGAAAAUUUUCCCACUGCACUACUUAUAGCUACUUGCGCCCUCUAUAUAGCAAACAAUGCCUAAUCUGUGCCUGUUGGUCCCCCAUGAUCCUCUUUUUCUUAUAUUAAUUGAGAGCUGAUUUGAUGAGAUAACCACCUGUCAGUGACCUUGCAGGGUGGUCUUAUCCCCCUGGCCAAACUAGUACAGACGGGCUUUAACAAAUCACGAGCAGGAAGUACCAUGACAUGACCCUCCAGUUGCACCAAGCCAGAAGCGACAUAGGUAGACAAGUUUGUAUUUGCCCAACACUCUGUCCCAAAGUUAAUGGAACUGACUUCCAGCAAAUAUAGUGCAUGCUGACAGUCCAGAGAACUGCCAGGGACUACUUCUGAGGCAUCUAUUCUCCUUAUCCCACUUAGAAACAAUCUGUCUUCCUCACACCACUUGUAAUCUUUAGUAUUAGUUCAUCUUCAUGAUAGGCUACAACGCCUUUUGAAGAUUACCAGAAGAAGAAGAAGAAGAAGAUAUAUCGAGGAUCAUGAAAGUAAUCAUUUGUUCUUUUAAAUGCGUGUACAUGUAACAUAGUUUUUUGAUAUUUAAUCUUAAGUCAAGUUCUGACAAAAAUAUGAGGGAUGCUGAACUGGAUAGUAAAUUGUAGGGGGGGGGGGAUAAAAUGAUAUAGUUCAAUAGUAAGACUGUAUUAAUAUAAUUAAUAUUAAUAAUAAUAACAAUAUUAAAAAUAGUAACAAUAAUGACAA
RNAcentral lists this long non-coding RNA (1182 nucleotides) under Strongylocentrotus purpuratus (purple sea urchin). Its description in RNAcentral is "uncharacterized LOC115926828". Lineage: Eukaryota; Metazoa; Echinodermata; Echinoidea; Camarodonta; Strongylocentrotidae. The record is from RNAcentral.